UACGAAGGGGGCUAGCGUUGCUCGGAAUCCCUGGGCGUAAAGGGUGCGUAGGCGGGUCUUUAAGGCAGGGGUGAAAUCCUGGAGCUCAACUCCAGAACUGCCUUUGAUACUGAGGAUCUUGAGUACGGGAGAGGUGAGUGGAACUGCGAGUGUAGAGGUGAAAUUCGUAGAUAUUCGCAAGAACACCAGUGGCGAAGGCGGCUCACUGGCCCGUAACUGACGCUGAGGCACGAAGGCUAGGGGAGCAAAAGGG
Molecule: ribosomal RNA, 253 nt
Filed under: uncultured bacterium
Lineage: Bacteria
Description: partial 16S ribosomal RNA
Rfam family: Bacterial small subunit ribosomal RNA
Source: RNAcentral